CCGUGCUGGACGGGGAGGUAGCGGUGCCCUGAACCUGCAACCCGCUAGAGCAGGGUCGAACUCCUACCCCCGGCCCUUGGCCUUUCAGGGUUUGCCUCCGGUAAGUGGUGAGGAAGCUCUGGUCCUGUGCGGCGCAAUUCCAUGAACCCCGUCAGGUCCGGGAGGAAGCAGCGGUAAGUGGAUCAUUGCGGGUGCCACGGGGGUGCUGGAGCAGAGCAAACUGCCGGGGUUCCGCCUGGGGGGCGGGGUCAAAGGUAGGUGCACGG
This 266-nucleotide signal recognition particle RNA is filed under the name Dethiobacter sp. RNAcentral's name for it is "signal recognition particle sRNA large type". It matches the Rfam family "Bacterial large signal recognition particle RNA". Rfam says of the family: The signal recognition particle (SRP) is a universally conserved ribonucleoprotein involved in the co-translational targeting of proteins to membranes. Archaeal SRP consists of a 7S RNA and homologues of the eukaryotic SRP19 and SRP54 proteins. The record is from RNAcentral. Lineage: Bacteria; Bacillati; Bacillota; Dethiobacteria; Dethiobacterales; Dethiobacteraceae.